UUACCGACGAAAUGAUUGCCACAC
RNAcentral lists this non-coding RNA (24 nucleotides) under Arabidopsis thaliana (thale cress). Lineage: Eukaryota; Viridiplantae; Streptophyta; Magnoliopsida; Brassicales; Brassicaceae. The record is from RNAcentral.